This 485-nucleotide ribosomal RNA is filed under the name Cyclophora tenuis. RNAcentral describes it as "partial Bacterial large subunit ribosomal RNA". It matches the Rfam family "Bacterial large subunit ribosomal RNA", at positions 642 to 1123 of the family's 2925-position model. The record is from RNAcentral. Lineage: Eukaryota; Bacillariophyta; Fragilariophyceae; Cyclophorales; Cyclophoraceae.
GAGGUUAAGGGGGACGACCCCCGGAGCCGCAGCGAAGGCGAGUCUGAACAGGGCGUUCAGUUCGUCGGACUAGACCCGAAACCGAGUGAUCUAGCCAUGGCCAGGUUGAAGGUGCGGUAACACGCACUGGAGGACCGAACCCACGCCUGUUGAAAAAGUCGGGGAUGAGCUGUGGCUAGGGGUGAAAGGCCAAUCAAACUCGGAAAUAGCUGGUUCUCCGCGAAAUCUAUUUAGGUAGAGCGUCUCAUGAAUACCAUCGGGGGUAGAGCACUGGAUGGGCUAUGGGGGCUUACCGCCUUACUGAUCCUAACCAAACUCCGAAUACCGAGAAGUACUAUCCGGCAGACACACAGUGGGUGCUAACGUCCAUUGUGGAGAGGGAAACAACCCUGACCGCCAGUUAAGGUCCCUAAGUUAUGGCUAAGUGGGAAAGGAUGUAGGACUCCCAAAACAACCAGGAUGUUGGCUUAGAAGCAGCCAUCAUU